UGAAACGAGCAACGUUCGUUUCAAAAGAGAAACGAUAAGUUUCUGUAGGUGAGGUGUUCGAUUCGAGCAGUGCAAUCUCGUUGAUCGUGUAUAAGGUAAUAAUGUGGGUGAUUAGUUCGUAGAGUAAUGCCAACCUGAAAUAUUAGUACUAAAAUUAAGGAAUCCGGAAAUAUGACGUAAAUGGAAUAAGUACUAAAAAAGAAAUGAUAGGUUUCGUGAAGUGAAGAAAUAGCACUCUCGGUCUUUUCCUUUUAGACAGCCGAGUGAUAAGGUUUAAAAAAAAAAAAAGUUUUAAGUGAGAAAGUGCGAUCUAGCAGUAUUAUUAAGUAAUUAAAGAAAAAAAUAUGCAAGUGUUAAGUGAUUCUAAAACCAAAUUUAAUUAUUUCCAGAGGUGAUUUUAUUUCUAAUUUCUGGAUCGCAAUUAGUGAGUCGAACCGUGUAGCGAAAAUAGAGCGAUUCGAGUAAGUUAAUAACCUUAAAAGUGAAGAAGCAAAAUCUUAAGUAAUUCCUUUAAAACAGAAGUCGGAGAAGUUAUUCAAGAAAUUAUAUCGCGUAAUCAGUGUGCAAAUAUCGAGCAAGAAGAGAGUGCCCACGUGCCGGCGGAGUGCCGAAGUCUUUGGGGUUGGUGUCGGAUAGGCAUCGGAUCGGCAUCGCUCGUUCGUCGAAUCCGAAACAUUUGAGGGCUAGUGACGGAAGCAUUGGGAACCUGCCUAGGUGCGCACUAUAGCCUUGUGGCUGCGCGCCGCGAUAGUCCACCUGGAGAGCGUCGGCCAGCGGUAAAAAUCUCGGCCUCGCAUUCUCACGCUCCUCCCAGGAGGUUCAGCGAGUGGUCUAGAAGGGAAAGGAUCGCCACGCCAGCGAGGUUACC
Aedes albopictus (Asian tiger mosquito) is the source of this 868-nucleotide long non-coding RNA. RefSeq lists it as uncharacterized. The transcript has 2 exons. The record is from RefSeq and is a predicted model, not a curated record. Lineage: Eukaryota; Metazoa; Arthropoda; Insecta; Diptera; Culicidae.